This 494-nucleotide ribosomal RNA is filed under the name uncultured bacterium. RNAcentral's name for it is "partial 16S ribosomal RNA". It matches the Rfam family "Bacterial small subunit ribosomal RNA", at positions 28 to 506 of the family's 1533-position model. The record is from RNAcentral.
GACGAACGCUGGCGGCGUGCCUAAUACAUGCAAGUAGAACGCUGAAGGAGGAGCUUGCUUCUCCGGAUGAGUUGCGAACGGGUGAGUAACGCGUAGGUAACCUGCCUGGUAGCGGGGGAUAACUAUUGGAAACGAUAGCUAAUACCGCAUAAGAGUAGAUGUUGCAUGACAUUUGCUUAAAAGGUGCAAUUGCAUCACUACCAGAUGGACCUGCGUUGUAUUAGCUAGUUGGUGGGGUAACGGCUUACCAAGGCGACGAUACAUAGCCGACCUGAGAGGGUGAUCGGCCACACUGGGACUGAGACACGGCCCAGACUCCUACGGGAGGCAGCAGUAGGGAAUCUUCGGCAAUGGACGGAAGUCUGACCGAGCAACGCCGCGUGAGUGAAGAAGGUUUUCGGAUCGUAAAGCUCUGUUGUAAGGGAAGAACGAGUGUGAGAGUGGAAAGUUCACACUGUGACGGUAUCUUACCAGAAAGGGACGGCUAACUACGU